This is a long non-coding RNA of Sinocyclocheilus grahami, 382 nucleotides long. RefSeq lists it as uncharacterized. The record is from RefSeq and is a predicted model, not a curated record. NCBI's taxonomy places the organism in Eukaryota, Metazoa, Chordata, Actinopteri, Cypriniformes, Cyprinidae. The transcript has 2 exons.
CAAAGGGUCCAUGCCAUGAAUCAGAGUAAACUGGAGCGAGAGCUACAUCUGCUUGAUGAUAUGAUUGAAUCCGUCAGACAGACAUUGUCCUCUAUUCCUGAUCUUGUCAAGAGCUGUCCUGAACUACAGAAGCUUGUGGAAUCUAUUGGAUGAGUUGCUGAAAAUUCAGAAAUGUGUAGUUUAGCUUUUAAAUGUUUUCUUGUUUUAUUCUCAAGUGUCUUUCAUUUAAACUAAACCUAAAACCUUCAGGCGUUGUGUCUGGUGAUGCUGUAGGCCAAUCGGUUCAUUUUCUAAGUCUUUUUCAUUCAUUUUGUAAGUGAUUAAUUAGUGUAUGGACACACACACUGUUUAAUAAAUGUUAUUGUCUUAAUUUAAAGGUCUU